CAUAUGUGGUGUGUCCUGCGAUUUCAAUCAGACCAAGGAGGAGGUCUCAAGCUUCAACCCUAAAACACAAAAAUUCACCAAAUUGAAGGGGCAAAUCAAGCCCAAAUCGAAAUCCAAGCAUAGAUUAGUGAUCACCUCAGUGAAGGGUUCAUGAGGAAAAGGAGCCGAGUCUUCAAGCGGACACGCGCUUGAAAGGAACACUUUGAAGGUUAAUGUCAAGGAUUCCCGGAUGAAGAUCAAGCUCAACGAAGAACCGAACACGACCAAGAUACAAGCUUCCGCACUGCGCUGCGUCGUAACUUUUAAACGACGAACUUAUAUACAAUAUGUUAUCAAACUUUUAAAUUUUAAAAGUUUUUAGUAAACCCGUAUUUUACAUAUAUGUGUAUUUGUAAGAACACAAUUAAUUGUCG
Long non-coding RNA from Helianthus annuus (common sunflower), 413 nucleotides. RefSeq lists it as uncharacterized. The transcript has 3 exons. NCBI's taxonomy places the organism in Eukaryota, Viridiplantae, Streptophyta, Magnoliopsida, Asterales, Asteraceae. The record is from RefSeq and is a predicted model, not a curated record.